UUUUUGUUGCGCACGGGCCGCCAUAAUGCAGCAGUGGUGCCCACAAAUUUCCCAGCCACCAAAGGACCGCCACUGCUGCCGUGGCCAAUGCAAAUCCGAACGGCAAGGGGCGCAGAUUUAUCCCCACACGUCAGAGGCGCUCAUAAUGACACAAACAUUCUCUUGGCCGUCUGGCCAGCCGUUGCCCAGCAUUGGCUGCCCCCAGCACACACCCGAAAAAAGGUAAAAAAAAGAGACGAAAAAGAGAGCCACCAUCGACACGCAUGCUGU
This 270-nucleotide long non-coding RNA is filed under the name Pandoravirus dulcis. Its description in RNAcentral is "putative ncRNA". The record is from RNAcentral.